Molecule: ribosomal RNA, 247 nt
Filed under: uncultured bacterium
Lineage: Bacteria
Description: partial 16S ribosomal RNA
Rfam family: Bacterial small subunit ribosomal RNA
Source: RNAcentral
UGGAGUGAGUGGCGAACGGUGAGUAACACGUGAGUAACCUGCCCCUUCUUUGGGAUAACGCCCGGAAACGGGUGCUAAUACUGGAUAUUCACUGGCCUUCGCAUGGGGGUUGGUGGAAAGGUUUGUUCUGGUGGGGGAUGGGCUCGCGGCCUAUCAGCUUGUUGGUGGGGUGAUGGCCUACCAAGGCUUUGACGGGUAGCCGGCCUGAGAGGGUGACCGGUCACAUUGGGACUGAGAUACGGCCCAG